GUACAUGCUUUUUCUUGUUUGGGUUUCUUUUAAUUUAUCUGAAAAUGACUUAUCUUUUAAUUGCCAAGGUUUUAUAGUGUUUGUUGGAUUGUUUCAGAGAUUUUCUGAAAGUGUGUUGUUAGUGAAAAUAUUUUACUUAAACGAGGUUUUUCAUUUGGAUAUGAUGGUUCAAAGGUUUGUAGUAUUAAUCAUCUAGUAGGAAGGCAUCUUUGGCUUAGUUUCUUUAAGGUUGUACAAAUUUAUUAUAAUAAGCUGUUGGUUUCACAUCAUAUGUUCAGAAAGUUAAAGUACAAUGGAGCCCUGUACUACGAGUCAAAUUGAGUUUUGUCCCUUCUACUCGUUGUAUGUUAAAUUAAAAAGUAAAUUGGUCCUGCACCUUAGCAUGAGGUACACAUCAUGUCACUAUAUGGUUAUUCAGGCAGUUAUCUCCGUUUUUAACAGCACAAUUAGAUGAAAGUUUUAAUCAAUUUGCUCUUUGAUCAAAAGUAGAGAGUCCAAUUUGUCCAUUUUUUGAGUAGACGGGGCAAAAUGCAAUCUAACCAUUAGUACAGGGGGUCUCAAUGGUACUUUUACUGUUCAGAACCGAUUUGAGUACUUACCAUCUUGAUUAUCAACGUGAAAACUUAGCUUGAUAUUUUCCCGUUAGAGUUUUGUGAGGCGUAAGUCCGUAUCUUGGAGAUAGGGGAAGAUUGCAAGUGCUGGUUUCGAAUCUCAAACAUGUUGGAUUUCAUCCCUUAAAGGAUGAUUGAAUAACUGGAUUAAUCCCCAGUUCGGUAUUAACGUUUCUAGAAAAUUGCAAUGGAAUGAAGUUGGUGAAAGGGUUGGACGAGCGUUAAAUGUUUGAAACUUUUGUUUAUGCAGCUUGGUAUGGCCAGUGCAUUGGAAACACUGUGUGGUCAAGCAUUUGGAGCAAAACAAUACCAUAUGCUUGGGAUAUACCUUCAAAGAUCAUGGAUAGUUUUGUUUGCAACUGCCCUCUGUCUCCUUCCUAUAUAUAUCUUCACUACCCCAAUUCUGAUAGCUUUAGGCCAGGAUAAAAUUAUAGCAACGGUGGCAGGAUAUAUCAGUUAUUGGUUCAUCGGGAUCGUGUUUUCGUUCAUUGUAUCCUUCACUUGCCAGAUGUUCCUGCAAGCACAGAGCAAGAAUAUGAUUAUUGCAUACUUAGCUGCAUUCUCUAUUGGAAUCCACAUCUGUCUUUCAUGGCUUUUGACUGUGAAACUCAAGUACGGCCUUUCCGGGGCUUUACUAUCAACGAUUUUGGCCUAUUGGAUACCAAAUAUAGGUCAGCUUUUGUUUGUUACAUGUGGAGGUUGUAAAGAUACAUGGAAGGGUUUCUCAAUGUUAGCUUUCAAAGAUCUAAUGCCUGUUGUAAAGCUAUCUUUGUCAUCUGGUGCUAUGCUUUGGUAAGGUUUCUGUUAACUUAAAACAACUCUUCUUUAUGGAAUAAUAUGAACUAAAGUGUUAGAGAAGAUAUUGAUGUUGGGAAUUUUGUUGUCCUUGUCAGUCUUGAGCUUUGGUACAACACAAUCUUGGUUCUUCUAACUGGAAACUUGAAAAAUGCUCAGGUUGCAAUUGAUGCUCUUGCCAUUUGGUAAGUAAUUCGUACGUGUUUAUCCAGUUUCAAUGGUUUCACUUCUGGUUUUUUUUUUUGUUUUGAUACUAAUACAAAUAUGUUUUUGUUUUCAGUCUCAAUAUUAAUGGAUGGGAAAUGAUGAUAUCGCUAGGUUUCUUGGCUGCAGCAAGGUAUUAUUAUCAGCAUAAAGCUUGAGCCAGACCAUGGGUUUAACAUAUUGCUUGUUUUCCUGCAGUGUUAGGGUGUCGAAUGAGCUUGGAAGAGGAAGCUCCAAAGGUGCCAAGUUCUCAAUUAUGACCACAACGCUUACAUCAUUUUGCAUUGGAUGUGUGCUAUUUGUGCUCUUCUUAUUUCUUAGGGGACGUUUAGCAUACAUAUUCACAGAAAGUGAAGAAGUGGCUAACGCAGUUGCGGAUUUGUCUCCAUUGUUGGCUUGCUCCAUACUUCUAAACAGUGUUCAACCUGUCCUCUCUGGUAAAUUUUCAUUUGCUGUUAACAUUUUGUACCUUCUUGUCGAAUUUGAGUAUUUGUCGGAAUGGAAAAACAUAAACCGAAUACAUGCAUACAUGAUACAUCGAGAUUGAACAUUUAGUUUGCUCAUAUGGGAUUUUUGUUUUAAACAGGAGUUGCUGUUGGCGCUGGAUGGCAAAGCAUUGUAGCAUGGGUUAACAUUGCUUCCUACUAUUUAGUUGGCAUUCCAAUUGGUGUUGUUCUCGGAUACGUAUUCAAAAUGGAAGUCAAGGUGAUCUUUUCGAUCCGAAUCAAGUUUUGCUUGUUCCUAAUUACAUCACCUUAUCUGAUCCUAAUACUGUAUAUAUUUUACUUCCUGAACAUUUUCAGGGUGUUUGGGUUGGCAUGUUGCUGGGAACACUUCUUCAAACUGUUACACUUAUUAUUAUCACCUGGAAAACUGAUUGGGAUAAGCAGGUAAUCUUCAAAAUUUUAACUUUUGAUAGCAUCCAACAUGCUUUGAUAUUUAUGUAAACAUUAUGUGCAGGUUCUCUUGGCUCGUUCACGAGUUAAUAAGUGGUUUGUACCAGAAUCCCGGGAAACAAACGGCAACCAAGAAAAUGGUGCUUGAAGGGGUCAAUCUUGUUAUUCUUCCUAAUGGACUUAUAUUUUUUUGUUGCUAUAUAUCAUUUCUUGAAACCAUCGGCGCAUCUGCGUUAGGAUUUUGAUUUCCCAUGAUUUUUAAGAAAAGUUUUGGUGCCAUUGUGUCUUGUUUUGUUGGGUUGGCUCAUUUAGUUAACUAUUAAAAGGUAAAUGCAUUUAACAAAAUUAGCUUAGCCACCUUUUAUUAACUGCGUAAAAACAAAACUACUCGACUGAAUAUUUUAUAUUACAUAGAUUUCUGAUUGAAAUUAUGUAUAUAGAUUUUUGCUUGUUUGUAGGUUCAUGUUAUGUAUAUAAAAUUUUACAUACUUACAUAUUAUCAACUUUUAUCAUUUUUUUAUUUUUGUCACUAAAUCUAUAAAAUCAAAUAUUGUUGACAUGGUCUUUUUUUAUGUCUAAUAAUAAAUUUAGCUAUUUUAAUUUAACAGUUAUAAAAUGAUUACUUUUUAUUUUUUUUUAAAACUAAUUAAAAAAAGUCAUGGAAUUGUUGCUAUAUCAUAUCCACAACCAUCUAGAGGUCAUAAUAGUACAAGUAUUAAUGAAAAAGUUGAGUAAAAUCCAAAACAUUUAAUAGCACAUUUAACAAGAAAGUUGAGGAAAAUUCAAAAUAAUUAAAUCUUAUCGUUCUAUCUUUUCAAGACUUUUAAGGUAAACGAUCUUCUUUUGGCAUUGGGUGUAAAUUAUUAUUUAUCAUUAAAACAUUGUCAAUUUCAGUACUUGUCUCAUUGUCUAGAAAUAUAGUAUUGUGUUUUUGAACAACUGUGAAUCUUGUCAACUUGUUUUGCUAAUCUGGGUUCACACUAAAUUCCAUUAUUGUACUCUACUCGUGGUUUUUUUCUAUUUAGUUUUCCAAUUUCUUGUGCUUGACCUUUUCUGGUGCUUGAAAAUGGGGCAUUAAUGACCUUUCAGUACUACUCCUAAUUGUGUAUAAAGUUGUUCAAAUUUGUGUGUUUAGCCAAAGGAUGGGGAAUCAAUGGCAUCUACUAUACUUACUUUCUGGUCUCACCUUGUUUUGGGGUUAACCCAAAGUUAAAUUCUCGUUUUAAACUUAUUAUUUAAGUUCGAGUGUUGGUUUUUUUUAAAGUUUACAAAGUUAUUAAAAAUAAAAAAAUUGUAAAAUUGUAAAUGUUGAGAGCUACAUUUAUUGAAGUUUUAAAAAAAAUUCUAUUAUACUUACAUUCUAGGUCUUACCUUAUUUUGGGUUAACCCAAAGUUGAAGCCUUGUGUUAAAGCCUUGUCUUACCUUAUUCUAGGUCUUACCUUAUUUUGGGUUAAACCAAACUGCAUAAAUAAUAUUUGUGUAUCCAAUUUUUGUUCAUUGUUUCGAGUGCUUGAAAAUGUGCCAACCUCCCCAAUAGCUUCUUCCAGCACUUAGCUUGCUUAUUAGCCAUUGUCUUAAGAUUAACAAUAGGUAUAGAUGUAUACAAAUGUAUAGAUAAAGUUGCCCCCACCAUCUACAAUUGCGAUGUGUGGGUCUCUUUCACCAUGUGUGUAUGUUUUGUGUGAGUUUUAUCUAUUUUUUUUUCGAGUUAAUCUAGCUUUUGUCUAGUUUUUUGUCCACUAUGUAUUAUAGUGAUUGAAUUCUACACUAUAGCUGGUCCAACAUAUAUUUGUAUGUAUAUUAUACUUGUAAUUAUACUCUAAUUGUACUUGUGAAACUUAAAAAAAAAUGUAUAGAGAUAUCAUAUGCAAAUACAUUUCAAUGAAAAAAAAAACCAAAAUAGUAUAACAUUGAUAUGUUUAUGUUAUCUAUAAUAUAUAAAAACACAAGUUUGUAAAAUUUUUAAAUUGACGAAGAUAUUUUUUAUUUUUCAUCAUAUUAUUAAAUUAACUUUAAAAAUAUUUAUAAUUUUCUUAGAAUUAUUAGUUAAAAAAUUGUGUUAAUUUUAAAAUAGAAUUAUUACAUGAAUAAAUAUCUAAGCAUAAAAUAUAGAAAAAUGUUGUGAUAAUUAUAAUUAUAAUUUAAUUUAAAUUAAUAGUUAAAAAAUCACGUAAAAAAAAGUUGUGUUAAUUUUUUAAAAAAAAUAAGGUGUGCUAAUUUUAUUCAUAUAAAAUAAAGUAAUUACUUGAAUAGAGUUCUGAACAUCUUAAUUAUCACUUAAUUAAUAUUAGAGUUAUAUACCAAUUAAAUUUUAAGUUAGCUUUAUAAAUAACAAUCAAUAGUUAGGCAUAUUCAAUCAAGUACUAUCUAAGAAAAAUUACUGGUAAAAAAAAUGGAGAUGUUCAGCAUUAAUAAGUUAAAUUAUAUAGAAAAAAAGAAUGGAGAAUUAAAGUAAUGGUUUCUCGAAAAGGCAAUAUUGAAUCAUAUUCAUACAAUAAUGGCGUCGGAUAGUGGUCAAAGAUUAUUUUAAUUGAUGAUGGGGAAAUAUAAUAUUAUGAUAUUAUUUUUUAAAAGUUUAUGAUGUGUGAAACAAGUACUCUUAAAACCAUUUUUUUAAUCACUAUUAUUAAAUGUGAUUAUUAAUUUAGUUUAAAUAUCUUCCUAUUUAUCUUUAGCUAUUAUUAUAAUUGUUGCAUGUUGUUUUGCCUAUCUUUUUUUUAUCAUAGUUUAGUUUCUUGUAUAGUUCCAAAUUUUUAUAUUAUUUAAAAAGUAAGAGGAAUUAUCAUUAUCAACGAUAGGUAAUAAUGAUUAAAAAUACGUUAUUUAAAAAUUAAUUAAAAAUUAAACGCGUAAAAUUACAGGCAACGAAUGUAAUAUUAGAAACUAGUUUAUAAUCUAUAUAAAAGCACGAGCUUGGAAAAUCUUUUGAACCGACGAGAAUAUCAUUUAUUUUCUAUCAUAUUACUAAAAUCAUAAUUAAAAAUAUUUAUAAUAUUUAAUUUAGAAUUAUUAGUUAAAAAAAUUGAAGUAAAAUAGAAAUUGUGGUAACUAUACAUUUAAAAAUAAUUAUAAUUUAAUAGAAGUUGUGGUAAUCACACGUUUAAAAAUAAUUAUAACUUAAUUUACAAUUGUUAGUUAAAAAAAGUUGUGCUAAUUUUAAAAUAAAAUUAUUACUUGAAUAGAACUCUAAGUAUAAAAGAUAAGAAAAAUGUUAUGAUGAUAAUCAUAAUUACAAUUGCCAAUUAUUAGUUAAAAAACAUUUGACAUCAAAGAACCGUGCUAAUUUUAUUGAUGUAAAAUAGAGGUUUUUACUUUAAUAAAAGUCUAAACAUCUUAACCAUCACUUAAUUAAUAUUAGAGUUAUAUAUAAAUUAAAAUUUAAGUUUAGCUUUAUAAAUAACCUCCGGUAGUUAGACAUAUUUGAUCAACUAGUAAGAAAAUAAUUGAAGAUUAUUAGCAUCAAUAAGUUAGAAUUAUAUAUAAAAGAAAAGAAAUGGUUCUUCGAAGAGGCAAUAUUGAAUCAUACUCAUCGAGAAAAAUGGAAGAUUGUUUUAAUUAUUGAUAAAGUAAUAUAAUACUAUGAUUUUUUUUUAUAAUUCCGUUGUAUGUUGUUUAUUCUAUACGAAGCAAACACUUUUAAAAUGAUUUUUUAUCUAUCCGCUAUUUGUUUGAUAUUUGUGAGUUUAUUUGUAAUGAUUAAUAUUUUUGUUAUUUUUUAAAUUAUUGAUUGCAUUAGCACUAACUUAAUCAACAAAUUAAUUAUAGAAUAAAUAAAUAUCAUACAUAAUUUUAAGUAGAGUCAACUGUUACCUUUUAUUUAUUCAAUUUUUUAAUUACUCUUAUGGGUUUUGCUGAUGUGUAUGAGCAAAAAGAAAUGAUAUUGAUGUUUAGAAAAAGAACAGUUCUAACAAAAUAGAAUAGAAGAUGAACAUGAAUUAGUCUUCAUUUUCCAAUCUCUGCCUCUCCCUGUUUGCUUGGAAUUCCCUGUAAGUUUUAAGCUGUGUUUUACUUUUAAAACUGAUUUUGGUGUUGUCUCUCUUAGGAACUUCCAACUCUUUCGAGAGUUCCUUGAAGUGUCAUUUGUCGUGUAGUCAAUCAAAUCUUCAAUAAUGAUUAAUAUUGUCUUCAGGUCAUAUUGGGAUUUUGUCUUUAGGCUUCAAUGAGAACUCAAGCCUAGUUUAUAGAGCGGAAAACCUUGUUAGAUCAAGUCACGUGUGAUGCACGUACUACUUACCGAAAGAACGUGUGCGUCUUGCUCUUGAUAAGAUUCAAACCCCCAGCCUAAGGCAUAUAGGUCAUUAUGGGCCAAGUGGUACCAUACCUCCCCCAUAAUGAUCUAUAUGCUCUUAGUCGGGAGUUUGAACGCUACCAAAUGUGAGAUGUGCACGUCCCCUCAGUAGGUGUUCCAUACGUCACGUAUGAUCCGAUUUAACGAGGUGGUUCUACUUUGUGAAUCCUAUAUCAGGCUUAGGCUUUCAUUGGAGACAGGCGACAAAAUCCUAGCAUGACUCAAAGACAAUACCAAUCAUUAUCAGGGAUUCAAUCAAUUACUAAAUAUAAGACAAUUCAAAUGCUUUCCAUUAGCUUUAUAUAUUUAGCAUCAAAGUUGAAUUUUAAAAAAAAUCUGUUCUAUUUCUAAUUUUGUUGUUUUUUACCUCUCUUUUAAUAGGCAUUUCAAAUAAUAAAAGGGUAAUUCCACUUAAUAUUUGAUAUGGUUGAAAAAAGAAACAAUCUUUCUCUAUGUUUUCUUAAGCAUAGAUUUGAUAAAAGCAUGAAAAUCAUAUGUUUAAUGAUUAAUGCUUAAGAAAACCAUACGCUUCCUUGAAGUUUUUAGCAAAAUUUAAUUAUACCCCUCAAAUUUUUAAAAACUCUCAUUAUUAAUUUCACAAAAACUUUAAUCAGUAAACUUCCAAAAUUUUUAAAUAUUUUAGUAAGCCUCCCAAAACUUAUUCCCAGGAUUUGCCACUUGUUGUAAAGCAAUGGGAGGAGAUAUCAACCAGAAGCUGCUAAUAGAAGCUAAGAAGAAUGAAGAUGGAGAUGUGAAAUUUAAAGAAAAGCUAUGGACUGAGUCAAAGAAGUUGUGGAUUGUCGCCGGCCCUGCAAUUUUCACCAAGUUUUCAACCUUCGGUGUCACUAUAAUCAGUCAAGCUUUUGUUGGUCACAUUGGACCUACUGAGCUUGCUGCCUUUUCCCUUUGUUGCACUGUCCUUUUUAGGUUUGGCAAUGGUGUUCUGGUAUGUACAUCCUUCAGAUUGACAUUGCAAUGGAAUGAACUUCUUGGUGAGGCUCUUAGACUAGUGUUAAAUGUUGAAAACUUUUGUUUAUACAGAUUGGUAUGGCUAGUGCAUUGGAAACAUUGUGCGGACAAGCAUUUGGAGCAAAACGAUACCAUAUGCUUGGGAUAUACCUUCAAAGAUCAUGG
This 7929-nucleotide long non-coding RNA is filed under the name Gossypium raimondii (Peruvian cotton). RNAcentral's name for it is "long non-coding RNA (GRAI_LNC003294)". The record is from RNAcentral. Lineage: Eukaryota; Viridiplantae; Streptophyta; Magnoliopsida; Malvales; Malvaceae.